RNAcentral lists this ribosomal RNA (274 nucleotides) under uncultured bacterium. RNAcentral's name for it is "partial 16S ribosomal RNA". It matches the Rfam family "Bacterial small subunit ribosomal RNA", at positions 523 to 796 of the family's 1533-position model. The record is from RNAcentral.
AUACGGAGGGUGCAAGCGUUACUCGGAAUCACUGGGCGUAAAGCGCGCGCAGGCGGGCUGAUAAGUUGGAUGUGAAAGCCUACGGCUCAACCGUAGAACUGCAUCCAAAACUGUCAGUCUAGAGUGUGGGAGAGGAAGAUGGAAUUAGUUGUGUAGGGGUAAAAUCCGUAGAGAUAACUAGGAAUACCAAAAGCGAAGGCAAUCUUCUGGAACACUACUGACGCUGAGGCGCGAAGGCGCGGGGAGCAAACAGGAUUAGAUACCCCAGUAGUCC